This 381-nucleotide unclassified non-coding RNA is filed under the name uncultured bacterium. Its description in RNAcentral is "contains 16S-23S intergenic spacer region". The record is from RNAcentral.
UCCAGCUUAUCGCUGGCGGUCUCCUGCGAGUUCCCAACUGAAUGAUGGCAACACAGGACAGGAGUUGCGCUCGUUGCGGGACUUAACCCAACAUCUCACGACACGAGCUGACGACAGCCAUGCAGCACCUGUGUUCCCGCCAGCCGAACUGAAGGAUCUCAUCUCUGAAAUCCAUACGGGACAUGUCAAGGGCUGGUAAGGUUCUGCGCGUUGCUUCGAAUUGAACCACAUGCCCCACCGCUUGUGCGGGCCCCCGUCAAUUUCUUUGAGUUUUAAUCUUGCGACCGUACUUCCCAGGCGGCACGUUUAACGCGUUAGCUUCGCCACGAAAGGAUUCGACACCUCUCACAGCAAACGUGCACCGUUUACAGCUAGGACUAC